CCCUUAGAUGUCCUGGGCUGCACGCGCGCUACACUGAUGUGUCCAGUAAGCACCUAACCUAUUCCGAGAGGAGCGGGUAACCUUAGCAAAGCACAUCGUGAUGGGGAUAGAUUAUUGCAAUUAUUAGUCUUGAACGAGGAAUUCCUAGUAAGCACAAGUCAUCAGCUUGUGUUGAUUACGUCCCUGCCCUUUGUACACACCGCCCGUCGCUCCUACCGAUUGAAUGUUCCGGUGAGCUCUUCGGACUGCGCGGUCUGCAGUUUCUGCGUUCCGUGCGGAAAGUUGUUCAAACCUUAACAUUUAGAGGAAGGAGAAGUCGUAACA
RNAcentral lists this ribosomal RNA (324 nucleotides) under uncultured eukaryote. Its description in RNAcentral is "partial 18S ribosomal RNA". It matches the Rfam family "Eukaryotic small subunit ribosomal RNA", at positions 1470 to 1796 of the family's 1831-position model. The record is from RNAcentral.